AUUAUAAUUAUUUUAUUCAUUUUUUUUUAUUUUUAUUUUAUUAAGUAUUUUUAAUGAAUUUUUUAUUUUUUUUUUACUGAAUAGGAAAUUUUAUUUUAUUUUAAAAUAAUUUUUAGUACCUUUUGUCUCAGGGUUAAUUAAAUAAUUUUUAUAUAAUUUUUUCCCGAAUUUGAAUUAUUUAUUUUAUUAUAAUUUUAAACGUUUUAUAGUUUUUAUUAAUAUUAAGAUAAUAAUUAUAAGUUAUUUGUUUUUUUAUAUAUCUGGUUAAUUUGGAUAUAAAUUUAAUUUAUGAAUUAUUUUUAUUUAUUAUUUUCAUAUUUAAUUCUUAUAUUAUUGAGGAUAAGCUUAAUAUUUUAUUAAAAUUUUUAUUUUUUUUAUUUUUAUUAUUUUUAGAAUCAUUAUUUUAGUUCUUAAUUGAUUGAAUUAUUUUAUUAAGAUUUAUUUUUAUUUAAUAUUUUACAAUUUUUUUUUUAUUAAUUUUAUUUUUUAUUAAUUAUGAUUAUAUUAGUAUAAUUUUUAUAUUAUAUUUAUGAAUUCAACAAAUAUUUAUUCUUAACUGUUUAUCAAAAACAUUUCUUUUAGUUUUUGUUAAAAGUAAGUUCUGCCCUAUGAUUAAUUAUUUUAAAUGGCUGCGGUAUUUUGACCGUACAAAGGUAGCAUAAUAAAUUGUUUCUUAAUUAGGAACUUGUAUGAAUGAUCAUAUAAGGAAUUAUUUUUAUUUUAGUAAUUUUUAUAAUUUUAUUUUUUAGUAAAAAAUCUAAAUUUUUUUCUUGGGACGAAAAGACCCUAAAGAACUUUAGUUAAUAUUUUUUGAAUUAUUUUAAUUAUAUUAUUUUAUUUUUUAUUAAUUUUUGUUGGGGUGAUGGAAAAAUUUAUUCUUUUUUUUAUUAUAUCAUUAAUUUAUGUAUUUUUUGAUUCAUUUUUUUUUUUGAUUAAAAGAUUAAGUUACCUUAGGGAUAACAGCGUAAUUUUUAUGGUAAGUUCACAUUUAUAUAAAAGUUUGCGACCUCGAUGUUGAAUUAGGAUAAGAUUAUAAUGCAGUUUUUAUAAGUUUAAGUCUGUUCGACUUUUAAUUUCCUACAUGAUUUGAGUUCAAACCGGUGUAAGCCAGGUUGGUUUCUAUCUUAGAAUAAUUAGUUUUUUUUAGUACGAAAGGACCAUAAAAAUCAAUUUUUAUUGU
Molecule: ribosomal RNA, 1180 nt
Filed under: Krisna concava
Lineage: Eukaryota; Metazoa; Arthropoda; Insecta; Hemiptera; Cicadellidae
Description: 16S ribosomal RNA
Source: RNAcentral